GCGAGUGAAGCGGCAACAGCUCAAAUUUGAAAGCUGGCUUAGGCCCGCAUUGUAAUUUGCAGAGGAUGCUUCUGGUGAGGUGCCUUCCGAGUUCCCUGGAACGGGACGCCAUAGAGGGUGAGAGCCCCGUAUGGAUGGACACCAAACCUGUGUGAAGCUCCUUCAACGAGUCGAGUAGUUUGGGAAUGCUGCUCUAAAUGGGAGGUAAAUCUCUUCUAAAGCUAAAUACCGGCCAGAGACCGAUAGCGCACAAGUAGAGUGAUCGAAAGAUGAAAAGCACCUUGAAAAGGGGGUUAAACAGUACGUGAAAUUGUUGAAAGGGAAGCGCUUGUGACCAGACUUGCGCCGGGCAGCUCAUCAGGGGUUCUCCCCUGUGCACUCUGCCCGGCUCAGGCCAGCAUCGGUUCUUGUGGGAGGAUAAGAACGGUAGGAACGUGGCCCCCUUUCGGGGGGGUGUUAUAGCCUACCGUACGAUACUCCCGUGGGGACCGAGGUUCGCGCUCCGCAAGGAUGCUGG
RNAcentral lists this ribosomal RNA (517 nucleotides) under Cytospora schulzeri. RNAcentral describes it as "partial large subunit ribosomal RNA". It matches the Rfam family "Eukaryotic large subunit ribosomal RNA", at positions 89 to 629 of the family's 3401-position model. Lineage: Eukaryota; Fungi; Ascomycota; Sordariomycetes; Diaporthales; Cytosporaceae. The record is from RNAcentral.